Molecule: transfer RNA, 67 nt
Filed under: Haemaphysalis yeni
Lineage: Eukaryota; Metazoa; Arthropoda; Arachnida; Ixodida; Ixodidae
Description: tRNA-Gln
Source: RNAcentral
UAAUCUUUAGUGUAAGAGCACAAAAAAUUUUGAUUUUUUUAGAAAUAAUUUAAUUUAUUAAGAUUAA